UGGUUCUGGCAUCGAUGAAGAACGCAGCGAAAUGCGAUAAGUAAUGUGAAUUGCAGAAUUCAGUGAAUCAUCGAAUCUUUGAACGCACAUUGCACCUAUUAGUAUUCUAGUAGGUAUGCCUGUUCGAGCGUCAUUUCAAACCUCAAGCGUCUGCUUGCUGUUGGAGCAUUGCGCACUUCCCUUUCAAGGGAACGCAAGCCCUGAAUUAUAGUGGCGGAGCUGCUGUAGACUCUGAGCGUAGUACUACUAUUCGCUUCUGAAAUCUCGGUGGUGCCUGCCGUAAAACCCACUAUAUUUUCUCUUGUUUGACCUCGGAUCAGGUAGGAAUACCCGCUGA
RNAcentral lists this unclassified non-coding RNA (337 nucleotides) under uncultured fungus. Its description in RNAcentral is "partial contains 5.8S ribosomal RNA and internal transcribed spacer 2". The stretch from base 1 to 133 matches the Rfam family "5.8S ribosomal RNA", at positions 22 to 154 of the family's 154-position model. Lineage: Eukaryota; Fungi. The record is from RNAcentral.